UCUAGAACUCGAGAUAUGGGUUGAACACUGAACAAUGUAUGAGCUGCAGGACAGAUUCUGACUUCUCUUUUGUUGCUACAAUUUGAACUUGAAAACAGUCAUUUUGAAUCUUGAACUCUCAUGGAAGUUUUAGGCCCAUAUCUUAUCUUUUCAUC
Molecule: non-coding RNA, 155 nt
Organism: Populus trichocarpa (black cottonwood)
Lineage: Eukaryota; Viridiplantae; Streptophyta; Magnoliopsida; Malpighiales; Salicaceae
Source: Rfam